CCCCCCCCCAGACGAUCCUGCAGGUGUAGAAGCCAGAUGUGGAGGUCCUGAGGAGGCGUGGUUACAGGUGGUCUGCGGUUGUGAGGCCAGUUGGACGUACUACCAAAUUCUCUAAAACAAUGUUGGAGGCAGCUUAUGGUAGAGAAAUAAACAUUUUAUUCUCUGGCAACAGCUCUGGUGGACAUUCCUGCAGUCAGCAUGCCAAUUGCACGCUUCCUCAACACUUUUGACAUCUGUGGCAUUGUGUUGUGUGACAUCACUGCACAUUUUAAAGUGGUCUUUUAUUGUCCCCAGCACAAGGUGCACCUGUGUAAUGAUCAUGCUGUUUAAUCAGCUUAUUGAUAUGCCACACCUGUCAGGUGGAUGGAUUAUCUUCACAAAGGAGAAAUGCUCACUAACAGGGAUGUAAACUAAUUUGUGCACAUUUAUUUGAGAGAAAUAAGCUUUUUGUGCAUAUGGAACAUUUCCGGGAUUUAUUUCAGCUCAUGAAACAUGGUCCCAACACUACAUGUUGCAUUUAUAUUUUCAUUCAGUGUAGUUGCGCAGGCAGAGGGCCAACCUGUCAUUACAAGUAAUGGGGCUGAAGUAAAGAAGCCACAAUGCCUUUCCAAUCCCCAGCCUGCAAUGGCUACAUGCUAACUCCAGGUAAUCUCUCAAUGCCUCUGACGCACACUACACUGUACAGUGUAAGGAGAGAGGCUAGUGAUAAAGUGAGCCUGAAUGGCAGAAGGAUUUAAGUUAUUGUUGAUGGCAUUGUCAGGGAGGUCAAGAGCACAUAUGCAUAUAGACUAUUUCUCUCUCUAUUUACAUGUCAGUCAUUUAGCAGAGGCUCUUAUCCAGAGUGACUUACAGUAGUGAGUGCAUAAAUGUUGGUCGCCAUGGGAAUCGAACCCACAACCCUGGCAUUGCAAGAGCCAUCCAUGCUCUACCAACUCAGCUACACUCUCCUCUCUCUCAUUCACUCUCUGAGACACACACACACACACGCACACACAGGGUAGAAUUACACUCCAAUCUGGCGCUAACGACGGUAGUAAUUAACCACAUUCUGAGUCUCCUCUGACAUCACUGAUCCUGUUUUUCUUACGCCCCCCCCAUCCCAUGUGGUACGCCAGUGAAGCACGCACACAUUAAAUAUGCAGUCGAUGAAUCAUCCAUGUGUUGAGCUGUACUGUGAUAUAGAGAGCAUUCUCAGUCUAUGCUGGGCUAGUUGGUCCCUGCAUUAAAAACCAGCCUGACAUUUACAGAGCGGCAGAUCACUGACAUGGACAUAGAGAGAGGAAGGGAAGGAUAUGACAAACUAAUAUCAAGAUAAAAGACACACACAUUCUCUCUCUCUCUCUCUCUCUCUCUCUCAAUUCAAUUUACUUUAUUGGCAUGACGUAACAAUGCACAUACUGCCUAAGCUUACUUUGGAGAUUUAUUAUAUUAACAUAAUUAAUAAUAAUAAUCAAUAUUGUCAAUGGGACAACAGUAACAACAAUAAUCAAGGGUCAAAAUAACCAUACAUUGAACAGUAACAAUAAGCAUAGAGGACAUGUUGGUCUGUCAGACACUGUCCCUCAUCUUAUGGCAGGCAGAAAUGUAGUGCGCUGCCAACCCACAGCUCUCUGCGUCCUCUCCCAACAGGACGGGUAGCCUACUUUCAUCAGAGAGGUCUUUAAAACCUUGUUUCAAAUUUGCGGAAAUUACACUCUCUAAUUGUUUUAUAUUUUUUAACAUUUUGUCAGGAAAUGCAGCUCCGUCUCAGGUUCUGCUGUGAUGCAGUGGUUGCCCAGCCUUUCCUCUACAGGAAGCCAGGUUUUCCUGUGUCUACCCUUCUCAAUGGCAAGGCUGUGCUCACUGAGCCUGUACUUCUUCAAGGUUUUUCUAAGGUUUUGAUCAGUAACCAUGGUCAAAUAGUUUGCCACGGUGUAUUGUCGAUUUAGCGCCAGAUAGCACUGCAUUUUGCUUUGUGCUUGUGCUUCCCAAUAAGUAAUGUAGUUUUGUUUUGACUGUUGUAAUUUGGUUUGAUCUGACGGCACAAUGACCUCUCUGUAGCCUGUGGGACAGUGAGUGACAAUGUCAGCCUUACACCAUGUCUCCUGCAGAAUGAUGACGUCAACAUAAUUCAGAUUUUUGUUUUACUCCAGUGCUAAACUCUUCAGUCCAAAGGUUGAUGAGUUUAGGCCCUGAAUGUUCCACAUGCUAACUGAUAGGUUGAUGAGUUUAGGCCCUGAAUGUUCCACAUGCUAACUGAUAGGUUGAUGAGUUUAGGCCCUGAAUGUUCCACAUGCUAACUGAUAGGUUGAUGAGUUUAGGCCCUGAAUGUUCCACAUGCUAACAUGUUAAUAACAUGUUAAUUCCACAUGCUAAUUUCAUGUUGCAAAAAGAAAGAAUAGCACAGUCAAAAAUAUAGUAACUACUGAGUUGUUCAGAGUGAGAUAAACAGGAUAACAGCAAACAUUUGUUCUGUUAUAUAUAUAUAUAUAUAUAUCAAUUCAAUUUAAGGGGCUUUAUUGGCAUGGGAAACUUUACAUUGCCAAAGCCAGUGAAAUAGAUAAUAAACAAAAGUGCAAUAAACAAAAAAAAGUACAGAAAACAUUACUCUCAAUAAAAGCACAUAGUGAUGAUUCCCUGGCCUGAUUACUGAUUCAGUGUGUACGUGUGUUGUGUAUGUGAUUCCCAUGAGUGGCAGUGGCAGAGAGAGAGACAUUUGAAAUGUCUUUAUUCUUUUGGAACUUUUGUGAGUGUAAACAAUGAGAAGGUUUGAUGAUGUUUCCUGUUAGGAGUUAAGGUCUAUUGGUGUGUUGAUCCUCUACAGACAAUGCUUUGAUAAUGUGUGAUAUGAGGCCAGCUUUCAGAACAGCUUCCUUAUAUAAUGACCUCUGCACCUUAUCAGGUGGUAUUAUGUACUGCUCUGCAUCACACACACACACACACACACACACACACACCUGCCUCUGCUCUACACUAAUUGACGUUGGCCUCGAGAGGAUGGAUCUGUGACACAGAGAGACUCGAUAACUGAGCGUCUGAAAAUGAUACCUGUAUGUGUUUGUGUGUGUGUGUGUGUGUGGUGUGUGGUGCGUGUGCGCGUGCGUGUGUGUGUGACUGCUGCAGUGAGAUGAUGUAAUGGUUGUAGUAGCACGCUUGCACAGUUGUUGAGUUUUCCAGCAAUACUCCCAUUAAUUUCCUUUGAUGAACAUCCUUCGUGCAAAUUACAGUGCAUCCCACUGAUUGUGGUAGCGUUGUGCACCACGUACAUACAUAUACAUGUGUAAUGUACAUGUGUAAUGUAUAUGUACAAAGCAUGCGUAACUGUUCUUGUCCACCCUCCUUCCCUUCCUCCCUCUCUCUCUUUCUCUCACCCUCUGGUUUUCUGGUGUGUGGAGCUGUGACUGAACACCUGACUCACAGGUGAUGAUAAAGGUGUUAAGAGGAGAAAUAAAGACCGUUGGAUAGAGAGAAAGAAAGAGUGAGAGAGAGAAAGAGAAAGAGAGAGAGAGUGAAAGAACAAGAGAUAGAGAGAGGUGCAUUACCCCAUGCAAAGAUUGACCUGAACACAACGCCACCCAUUGGUCUGCCACAUCAAAAUACCAACAACAACAACACACAGCUCAAACUCACCAGAGAGGGACCUGUUGCUCUGGCAGGUCAUGUAUCACCAUGACCCCCUCCUUUCUUUUGGCUUCUCUCUUUUUCUAUCCUUUUGGCCUUUGUUGUUGGUUUGGUUCAUGAUGGUGAUACUGUGCAUUGCACCCCUUUAUUGGUAAGACAAUAGAGACUGAAGGUGUAGGUGAAUAAGUUGACACUUCUUUGUAGCAGAGCUUCUCUCGCUCUCUCUCUCUCUCUCUCUCUCUCUCGGGAUCUUUAGAAAGAAAGGAAGGUAAAAAAAGACAAAAUGUGUGAAUUAAAACACCAGCAGGGAGGUGUGGCGUGAGGGACAAAGGGAUGGUAGAAGAGGAGAAAAACAACAGUGGAAGCAGGAGAAGAGAGGCUGAUGAAUGUUCCCCCCCACUGUGUGUUCAGUCUGCAAGGAUAUAUAGGUCAUUCAUACAGUUCGUUGUUAUCCUGUCAUUUUCUCUCUCCCCUUCUCAAAUCAAAUCAAAUCAAAUUGUAUUGGUCACACACAUGGUUAGC
RNAcentral lists this long non-coding RNA (4122 nucleotides) under Salmo salar (Atlantic salmon). RNAcentral describes it as "lncRNA (ENSSSAG00000111151.1)". The record is from RNAcentral. Lineage: Eukaryota; Metazoa; Chordata; Actinopteri; Salmoniformes; Salmonidae.